UACGGAGGGUGCGAGCGUUGUCCGGAUUUAUUGGGUUUAAAGGGUGCGUAGGCGGCGCGCUAAGUCCGGGGUGAAAGCCCGCUGCUCAACAGCGGAGGUGCCCCGGAUACUGGCGGGCUUGAGUUGGGUCGAGGCCGGCGGAAUGGGCGGAGUAGCGGUGAAAUGCAUAGAUACCGUCCAGAACCCCGAUUGCGAAGGCAGCCGGCUGGGCCCACACUGACGCUGAGGCACGACAGCGUGGGGAGCGAACAGG
RNAcentral lists this ribosomal RNA (253 nucleotides) under uncultured bacterium. RNAcentral's name for it is "partial 16S ribosomal RNA". It matches the Rfam family "Bacterial small subunit ribosomal RNA", at positions 524 to 776 of the family's 1533-position model. The record is from RNAcentral.